UCUCUGCUACAUUUAUAGGUCUGAAUAUCAUUAUAUCACAAAGCCCAGAAAUAUAAUUUUGAAUUUUCUUGCAGUGUGAAUGCCUAUGUCUAUGUUCAUCUAGCCUUUGUGUAUGAAGUGUUUCAUGGUCACCAUAUUUUGCUGUAAGCACGCCUUGAUGUAACAUAAUACCACAAUUAAUUCUCCAUCACAGUGUUAAUGCUUUUGUGGGUGCCUUUAUUCUAUUGGCUUGCUGUAUUGUUUUACAGAGUAUUUAAUGAGAGUUGGGGAGUACUACAGGCAGUCACAAGCAAUGUGGAAAUUAAUGUGACACUUAAACCAAUGUGGCUCUGUUGAUGUUGAUCAUUUUCUUCAUAGGGAUUUUGAAUUUUAACUUAGCACUCAAUUUCUAUCAUGAUUCUGGAAUAGUUCUGAUUUUAUGCAAGCUAAUAUUUCUUGCUGGCGGAGUCUGGAGAUAAUGGAACUCAACAUUCUUUUAGACUGACAUGAAAACCAAGAAUGCCAAGUAUUUUUUAAAGCAAAUUCUUGUAAUAUUCCUGAAAGAGCUAAAUUGCAGGAAUAAAACCUGACCACACUCUGUAAUUUGGAAAUAGGUCUGACCAAUAUCUGACGUUCUAUCAUAUUCUGCAGUUUGGAAUUACCGCAGGGAUGCUUGCAAGGUAUAAGGAAUGGGACUUAGGCAUUUUGUGUUUAAACUGUGUUCUUGCUGUUAAGUCAUCAACUGAAAGAUAUGCAGUUCCAGACAUCUGAUUGACCCAAAUUCCUGUGCCAUGCCAACACCAUUUUGAAACCAAGGUUUUAUUUAGGAUUAGCAAUACCCCCACCUGGGUGUUCUCGGAGAGUAGCAAAAGGAAGACUGAGUCCCAGGAAUUAGCUUCUGAAAUCAAUAGCCAACUCUUGUCUUGUCAGCAAAUAUCGGGCAACAAUGAUAUUUCAAUCAUAAAGGAAAUUGUGAGAGAUUUUCAGUAUUCGUACCCAAAUUCCUGCUUCCAUAUGGCUUGGAAACAUUGUAUUCAAGUAGCCUAGUGGUUGUGAAAAUUGAGAAGACGGUUACAACAUAACGUAAUUGCUGUGGUUCGCUGGGAAUUUGGUCAUAAGUUGCCGUUGGCGUCUUGGAGCUGACCACGGAAGCAUUGACAAGUGAGGUAUGGCUCUCUCAAUAUGGGACAAGCUAAGCCCCAAUGAAUUUGAGAUUCUCCUCGACUAUGUGAGCUGUGAGUAUGAUCUAUUUGAAUUUUUACCUUCUCUGUCAUAUUUUCUCAUAUCUACCACUCAAUAUCACUUCUAAUGUUUCAGUUUGCUAAGGUUCUCUUCAAUAUAUCUCACCUCAAAAUUAUCCCUCCCUUUUUCAAUUUACUUAAUAACUAAUGUUUUUUUUUCUUUCAAUUUUACCCAUUGGCAUUGAUACUAAAUGUUAAAUCCACCCCAAAUGUAAAAUGAAAAGAGAGCAAUUAAGUAUGAACAACUGAAAAUUUUAUUGAAAAUAGAUCAAAAAAAAAAGGAAUUGUAUUAUCGCUUAUUAGCCCGUUGUCCGUCCACAAUUUCAAAAUGCUUAGCUUCGUUAUUUCAAGAUUGAUUUCAAUUCUAUUUGCUUUAUAUGAUAGCACUAUGUGGGGAUUCAAAACAUCUACCCAGAAUUUUGAAACUCAUUAAAUAUGCUUAUUUAUGCACAUUUUUCAAAAUUCAAAAAAAAUACUUCUUC
Lytechinus variegatus (green sea urchin) is the source of this 1702-nucleotide long non-coding RNA. RefSeq lists it as uncharacterized. The transcript is spliced from 4 exons. NCBI's taxonomy places the organism in Eukaryota, Metazoa, Echinodermata, Echinoidea, Temnopleuroida, Toxopneustidae. The record is from RefSeq and is a predicted model, not a curated record.